Molecule: ribosomal RNA, 522 nt
Filed under: uncultured Glomeromycotina
Lineage: Eukaryota; Fungi; Glomeromycota
Description: SSU rRNA
Rfam family: Eukaryotic small subunit ribosomal RNA
Source: RNAcentral
AGCAGCCGCGGUAAUUCCAGCUCCAAUAGCGUAUAUUAAAGUUGUUGCAGUUAAAAAGCUUGUAGUUGAAUUUCGGGGUUAGUAGGUUGGUCAUGCCUCUGGUAUGUACUGGUCCCACUGAUUCCUCCUUCCUGAUGAACCUUAAUGCCAUUAAUUUGGUGUUUUGGGGAAUUUGGACUGUUACUUUGAAAAAAUUAGAGUGUUUAAAGCAAGCUAACGCUUGAAUACAUUAGCAUGGAAUAAUGAAAUAGGACGUUCGAUCCUAUUUUGUUGGUUUCUAGGAUUGACGUAAUGAUUAAUAGGGAUAGUUGGGGGCAUUAGUAUUCAAUUGUCGGAGGUGAAAUUCUUGGAUUUAUUGAAGACUAACUACUGCGAAAGCAUUUGCCAAGGAUGUUUUCAUUAAUCAAGAACGAAAGUUAGGGGAUCGAAGACGAUCAGAUACCGUCGUAGUCUUAACCAUAAACUAUGCCGACUAGGGAUCGGAUGAUGUUAAUUUUUUAAUGACUCAUUCGGCGCCUUACG